Molecule: ribosomal RNA, 440 nt
Filed under: uncultured bacterium
Lineage: Bacteria
Description: partial 16S ribosomal RNA
Rfam family: Bacterial small subunit ribosomal RNA
Source: RNAcentral
CCUACGGGUGGCAGCAGUGGGGAAUAUUGCACAAUGGGGGAAACCCUGAUGCAGCGACGCCGCGUGAGCGAUGAAGUAUUUCGGUAUGUAAAGCUCUAUCAGCAGGGAAGAAAAUGACGGUACCUGACUAAUAAGCACCGGCUAACUACGUGCCAGCAGCCGCGGUAAUACGUAGGGGGCAAGCGUUAUCCGGAGUUACUGGGUGCAAAGGGUGCGUAGACGGGGGUGCAAGCCAGAUGUGAAAGCCAGGGGCUCAACCCGCGGACUGCAUUUGGAACUGUGCUGCUAGAGUGUGGUAGAGGCAGGCGGAAUUCCUAGUGUAGCGGUGAAAUGCGUAGAUAUUAGGAGGAACACCAGUGGCGAAGGCGGCCUGCUGGACGAUGACUGACGUUGAGGCUCGAAAGCGUGGGGAGCAAACAGGAUUAGAUACCCUUGUAGUC